This 378-nucleotide ribosomal RNA is filed under the name uncultured organism. RNAcentral's name for it is "bacterial SSU rRNA". It matches the Rfam family "Bacterial small subunit ribosomal RNA", at positions 45 to 433 of the family's 1533-position model. The record is from RNAcentral.
UGCCUCAUACAUGCAAGUCGAGCGGAGUAGCAAUACUCAGCGGCGGACGGGUGAGUAACGCGUAAACAAUCUGCCCUAAAGUGGGGAAUAACUAUCCCAACGGAUAGCUAAUACCGCAUAAUGAUGGAGGGGACAUCCCCUUUUCUCAAAAACCUUCGGGUGCUUUAGGAUGAGUUUGCGUCCCAUUAGCUUGUUGGCGGUGUAACGGACCACCAAGGCGACGAUGGGUAGCCGGCCUGAGAGGGUGUACGGCCACAUUGGGACUGAGAUACGGCCCAGACUCCUACGGGAGGCAGCAGUAGGGAAUUUUGCGCAAUGGGGGAAACCCUGACGCAGCAACGCCAUGUGAGGGAUGAAGCAUUUCGGUGUGUAAACCUC